Long non-coding RNA from Agrilus planipennis (emerald ash borer), 1240 nucleotides. RefSeq lists it as uncharacterized. The record is from RefSeq and is a predicted model, not a curated record. NCBI's taxonomy places the organism in Eukaryota, Metazoa, Arthropoda, Insecta, Coleoptera, Buprestidae. The transcript is spliced from 5 exons.
UAUUUUCUUUGUCCCUCUUUUUUUAGGUUUCACCAUCUCUCUCGCUCUUGUAUUCAAUUAUUUAGACUAGAGUGGUGAUCAGGCGAUGGAACUUGCACGAAGCAAAACAUUUAAAAUUUCAAUUGUAUUAAGUUGUGGCUGAAAGUAGCUACGAGAUUGGUUAAAUUACAAAAAAUUGCCGCGAACCAUCGCAGAAACCUAAUUUGAUGCUUCUGCGUAGAGUUGUGACGUCAUCAGUGCUUCGUGCAUUAGCUUUCGCAAUUUCAUGCAAGCCAAAACGCGGUCGGUUCAUGCUGGUUCAUUACUAAGGCGUGGUCGUUCGUAUUUGCAAGUUGUGUUGUCGGCGUCUUUUAAAUUCAACAUUUUAGAUUAACCGAUGAAUGAGACAGAAAGAGAGGGUUGAAGUUAAUUUUGAUCCUGGUACUGAAAAAAAUCAAAUCGUCUAUCAAGGUACUCUUUGCUGUUGACUUUACGCCUUCGACAAUUUUACAGUCAAUUGAGAUUAGCCAACCGUUCAGGCUGAUUAUACUGAAACAACCAAUGUCUACAAUGAUGUCGACUUUGCUGGACUUGCUUAUUGAUUUGCCGUUUCCGUCUUCAUUGUGCAACAUCAUGCAGAUAAUUUUCAACCUUCGAGUGAAAGCAACCAGAGGUACAUGAGGGUACACUGCGAGUAGAGAAAUGAACAGGAUAUUGACCCACAAAUGAGAAGGAAAUGCAGUUAACUUUGAUGCUACUGAAACAACCGAUGCUUUUGACGUCUUCAUCUUGCAACAUUAUGCAGUUAAUUUUUGCUGUAACAAUGGGAGGCAAUUGGAAAUUAAUUAACUUGGAAGCGAGGGACAAAAAAUUGCUUGCUGUGGUAUCCCUCCUAGAUUGGUUUGCUCAUCACACUGAUAGACUUUAGAACGCCAGUUUCUACAAUUAAUUGAGGUUAUACAACAAACGGGAGAGAAUUAAUGUUCAGUUUGGUUAUACUGAAACAGCCAAUACUACUUGGGUGUGGUCUUUCGUGGAUUAUAUUCUUCAUUUGCUGUUUCGUCUUCGCCUUGUAACAUCAUACAGUUAAUUUUCAACCCAUGAGUGAGAGCCACUGGAUAUUUACUUGAAUUCCACUGAAAUAACUUCUCUGCUACAGUGUUCCUCCUGGAGUUAGUUUGCUUUGACACCUGUAAACUUUGGAACGUUACGUUCUACAAUUAAUUAAGGUGAGAAUAAUUGAUAUAAUUAAUUUUAAUUG